Molecule: ribosomal RNA, 372 nt
Filed under: uncultured organism
Description: bacterial SSU rRNA
Rfam family: Bacterial small subunit ribosomal RNA
Source: RNAcentral
CAGAGGGUGCGAGCGUUGUUCGGAAUCACUGGGCGUAAAGCGCGCGCAGGCGGGCGUGUAAGUCAGAAGUGAAAUUCCGGGGCUCAACCCCGGAGCUGCUUCUGAUACUGCAGGUCUGGAGACCGGUAGAGGCUGGUGGAAUUCCCGGUGUAGCGGUGGAAUGCGUAGAAAUCGGGAAGAACACCCGUGGCGAAGGCGGCCAGCUGGGCCGGUUCUGACGCUGAGGCGCGAAAGCGUGGGGAGCAAACAGGAUUAGAUACCCUGGUAGUCCACGCUGUAAACGAUGGGCACUAGGUGCCGGGGGGAGCGACCCCUUCGGUGCCGCAGCUAACGCGUUAAGUGCCCCGCCUGGGGAGUACGGCCGCAAGGCUG